Molecule: transfer RNA, 76 nt
Filed under: Bacillota bacterium
Lineage: Bacteria; Bacillati; Bacillota
Description: tRNA-Phe
Rfam family: tRNA
About the family: Transfer RNA (tRNA) molecules are approximately 80 nucleotides in length.
Source: RNAcentral
GGCCCGGUAGCUCAGCUGGUAGAGCAACGGACUGAAAAUCCGUGUGUCGCCGGAUCAUCCCCGGCCUGGGCCACCA